RNAcentral lists this transfer RNA (95 nucleotides) under Streptomyces glebosus. RNAcentral describes it as "tRNA-Arg". Lineage: Bacteria; Bacillati; Actinomycetota; Actinomycetes; Kitasatosporales; Streptomycetaceae. The record is from RNAcentral.
UGACCCGCUGGUGCAAGGCCCGGAUGACCGCGGGCCGCGCUCUCGCCCGGGGGCUGCUGACCAUGGGCCUGGCGUUCGUCCCGCUGCUGGCCGCC